UUUUUCUUUGCAAAAAAACUCUAAAUUUUCCUAAAAAGUGAGAUUUCAGAAAUCUUGAAAACUUCAAGUCUCCUCAUUUUUUUUUUGAUUCUUCACAAGAUUAAAAACAUGUUUUGAAAGAGGGGAUUUUUCUAUCCUUUAGCUGGACUUCUUGGUUUCAAGCCGGUUUUCUUUGGAUUUGGAUUUCUUGGGGUCAAUUUCUGGGGUUUGUUGCUGCUGGAUCUUGCCGUUUCUCUCACCUAGUUUAUUUUAAGAAGGCUUUUGUUUUCUUUGUUAGUUGGCUGACAAAGGUACACCUUUGGACUCACAUGUUGGUUUAGGUUCCUUUUAUGUAUUCUUUGUCUAGAUGUUUAAAUGAGUUGUUCUUGGUUGUUAAAUGUCUCAAGCUUAUUUGUUCUUUGUUACCAUGAUUCUCUUUAAAAAUGUCUUCAUUUGUUACUUCAUCUAGCAUGCCUAAGCAUUUUUACAUAGCUCAACUUCUCAUAUGUGCUGGACUGGUUUGAGCAUGAACUCCUAUUUGCUGAAACAACCCCUCUUAAAUUACUCAUUUAGUUAAUGUUAAACUUGCAUUGAUUCAUUGUUUUCUUAUAUGUACUAAUGGCUACAAUGUCACCGUUGUUUUUGUGUUGGUAUGUGAGAUGGCCCCAAGGCAAAUAAUGUCAAAGUUGAAGUUGGAAAUGGGGAUUUGUGAGAGGAAGUUCCCUAGCUGUUCUUUUUCAAGUAAACACAUUGUAGGAGAGGACCUAAGGAGAGAAGAUAAACCAGAAGUUAGAAUGAAGAGUCUAUUUUUGAGAAUUUUAAUACUCGUUUUGAAAGUAGUAUGAUAAGUUACAAAAAUAGAUAUUUUUGUAUAUUCUGGACCUUAAGCAUUGUUGAUGGACUUCUAUAACUCUAUAAAUUCGAUUUUUUCCUUUCUUUGGAUUGUGUAGUACUGGGUCACUACAGUUAGACCCUUUGUUUUAUUUUAUGAGCAUGUCUUAUAGUUGUAACUAGGCUAGGCUUGUAACGAGGCUCAAGUUGGGACCUAUUCGAGCAAGUCAGAGGAUUAGGCUAUUGAGCCUGGGCCAUAAGCCCAUUAGUUUAGUAAGUUUUAAAAUUCGUCUCAUGAAUUGUAGUAUAAAUGCAUUCCUCUAUUAUUUUUCUUUUGCAAAUCAUAG
Molecule: long non-coding RNA, 1157 nt
Filed under: Nicotiana benthamiana
Lineage: Eukaryota; Viridiplantae; Streptophyta; Magnoliopsida; Solanales; Solanaceae
Description: long non-coding RNA (NBEN_LNC035926)
Source: RNAcentral